This 499-nucleotide ribosomal RNA is filed under the name uncultured bacterium. RNAcentral's name for it is "partial 16S ribosomal RNA". It matches the Rfam family "Bacterial small subunit ribosomal RNA", at positions 30 to 523 of the family's 1533-position model. The record is from RNAcentral.
AUUGGACGCUGGCGGAAUGCUUUACACAUGCAAGUCGAACGGCAGCACGGACCUCGGUCUGGCGGCGAGUGGCGAACGGGUGAGUAAUGUAUCGGAACGUGCCCAGUCGUGGGGGAUAACGUAGUGAAAAUUACGCUAAUACCGCAUACGAUCUAUGGAUGAAAGCGGGGGAUCGCAAGACCUCGCGCGAUUGGAGCGGCCGAUAUCAGAUUAGGUAGUUGGUGGGGUAAAGGCCACCAAGCCAACGAUCUGUAGCUGGUCUGAGAGGACGACCAGCCACACUGGAACUGAGACACGGUCCAGACUCCUACGGGAGGCAGCAGUGGGGAAUUUUGGACAAUGGGCGAAAGCCUGAUCCAGCCAUUCCGCGUGCAGGAUGAAGGCCCUCGGGUUGUAAACUGCUUUUGUACAGAACGAAAAGGUUUCUACUAAUACUAGGAGCUCAUGACGGUACUGUAAGAAUAAGCACCGGCUAACUACGUGCCAGCCGCCGCCGUAA